Molecule: long non-coding RNA, 395 nt
Organism: Lontra canadensis (Northern American river otter)
Lineage: Eukaryota; Metazoa; Chordata; Mammalia; Carnivora; Mustelidae
Exons: 3
Source: RefSeq, a predicted model, not a curated record
GCUGAAAGCCCGGCCACUGCGUACUAGGUCACUUGUGAUGUCAUUCGGAGCCUACCGAGAUAACCAAGGACAACCUCCUCAUCUCAAGAUCACAUCUACACAAAGGUUCCCAUUGAAGACAACAUGCACAGACUUGAAGCUGGAAGGAUAUAAGCCCACAGCUGCUUGGCACUGCUCCAUGGGGAAUCUGCCCUAAAAUGGAGCCCAUAAGAGGAAAGAAGAACCAAAACACGGAGGACAAAUCUAAGAUCCAAUGACCAACUUUUGACUUCCUGGAUCCAGCCGUGCCUGAAAUGAUCUCUAUCCUGGAACAUUUCAGUUGCUUGAACCACAUCACCUUUUUUUCCCCCUUAAGUUAAUGUCAGUUGGAUUUCUGUCAUUUACUAUUGGGAGAG